AAAUGAAUUGACGGGGACCCGCACAAGCGGUGGAGCGUGUUCUUUAAUUGGAUGAUAAGCCAAGAACCUUACCCAGACUUGACAUCCUUGGAAGGACUACGAAAGUAGUCUGUGCCUUUGGAACCAAGUGACAGGUGCUGCAUGGCCGUCUUCAGCUCGUGUCGUGAGAUGUUAGGUUAAGUCCUUCAACGAGCGCAACCCUUAUGAUUAGUUGAAUUUUUCUAGUCAGACUGCCUCGGUAACGGGGAGGAAGGAGGGGAUGAUGUCAGGUCAGUAUUGCCCUUACGUCUGGGGCUAGAAACGCGCUACAAUGGCUGGUACAAUGGGCCGCUAAGUCGCGAGACGGAGCAAAUCCCAUCAAAGCCAGUCUCAGUUCGGAUUGGAGGCUGAAAUUCGCCUCCAUGAAGCCGGAAUCGCUAGUAACCGUAGGUCAGCACACUACGGUGAAUACGUUCCCGGGUCUUGUACACACCGCCCGU
This 479-nucleotide ribosomal RNA is filed under the name uncultured bacterium. RNAcentral's name for it is "bacterial SSU rRNA". It matches the Rfam family "Bacterial small subunit ribosomal RNA", at positions 903 to 1397 of the family's 1533-position model. The record is from RNAcentral.